Molecule: unclassified non-coding RNA, 121 nt
Filed under: Vibrio aestuarianus subsp. francensis
Lineage: Bacteria; Pseudomonadati; Pseudomonadota; Gammaproteobacteria; Vibrionales; Vibrionaceae
Description: GcvB
Rfam family: GcvB RNA
About the family: The gcvB gene encodes a small untranslated RNA involved in expression of the dipeptide and oligopeptide transport systems in Escherichia coli.
Source: RNAcentral
CGCAGCAAGGCCUGAACGGCUUGGUUCUCUCUAGAAUCAAUUGGCUUAUUGUUGCGAUGUUGUGUUUGCAAACUCGUAUUUCGAGUUAGGUAGAUUUCUACCAUCCUGUUUUGUACAGAUA